AACGCUGGCGGCGUGCCUAAUACAUGCAAGUCGAACGGUCUUUCUAUGGAAGCUUGCUUCCACUGAGAAGAUAGUGGCGAGCGGGUGAGUAACACGUGGGUAACCUGCCCAUAAGAGGGGGAUAACAUCCGGAAACGGGUGCUAAUACCGCAUAGUUUUCUUGAUUGCAUGAUUGAGAAAGGAAAGACGGCCUUUGCGCUGUCGCUUAUGGAUGGACCCGCGGCGUAUUAGUUAGUUGGUGAGGUAACGGCUCACCAAGACGAUGAUACGUAGCCGACCUGAGAGGGUGAUCGGCCACAUUGGGACUGAGACACGGCCCAAACUCCUACGGGAGGCAGCAGUAGGGAAUCUUCCGCAAUGGACGAAAGUCUGACGGAGCAACGCCGCGUGAGUGAAGAAAGGUUUUCGGAUCGUAAAACUCUGUUGUCAGAGAAGAACAAGUUGGAGAGUAACUGCUCCAGCCUUGACGGUAUCUGACCAGAAAGCCACGGCUAACUACGUGCCAGCAGCCGC
Molecule: ribosomal RNA, 513 nt
Filed under: uncultured bacterium
Lineage: Bacteria
Description: bacterial SSU rRNA
Rfam family: Bacterial small subunit ribosomal RNA
Source: RNAcentral